UGGGGAAUAUUGGACAAUGGGCGAAAGCCUGAUCCAGCCAUGCCGCGUGAGUGACGAAGGCCUUAGGGUUGUAAAGCUCUUUUGGCGGGGAAGAUAAUGACGGUACCCGCAGAAUAAGCUCCGGCUAACUUCGUGCCAGCAGCCGCGGUAAUACGAAGGGAGCUAGCGUUGUUCGGAAUCACUGGGCGUAAAGCGCACGUAGGCGGAUUGUUUAGUCAGGGGUGAAAUCCCGGGGCUCAACCUCGGAACUGCCUUUGAUACUGCGGAUCUCGAGUCCGAUAGAGGUGAGUGGAAUUCCUAGUGUAGAGGUGAAAUUCGUAGAUAUUAGGAAGAACACCGGUGGCGAAGGCGGCUCACUGGAUCGGUACUGACGCUGAGGUGCGAAAGCGUGGGGAGCAAACAGGAUUAGAUACCCCCGGUAGUCCCUGAGCGGGCUGGCAAGGCGCAU
RNAcentral lists this ribosomal RNA (448 nucleotides) under uncultured bacterium. RNAcentral's name for it is "bacterial SSU rRNA". It matches the Rfam family "Bacterial small subunit ribosomal RNA", at positions 355 to 825 of the family's 1533-position model. The record is from RNAcentral.